ACUGAAAGACAAAAAGGGAUAUUAAUUGAUUAACUCUUUACCCAUGCUGUCAUGGAGAGAGUGUUUCUCUGAAGACGCAGAUAGCAUGGGCUAAAAUCUCUGAAUUUACAACCACGUCCCUACUUGUACCGGGAACACAUACAGAUAUGUUCCCUGUUCAUGUGCAGAUGGCACAUGCAUUCCCAAUUUCCGCACUCACAUGCACAUGAGUGCCAACGUGACAAGCAAUUGGAUUUAGAUUACAAAGUCUAAGAGAGGGUAAGAACUGCGGAUGAAGGUCUUGGGUCCAUUCCAACUCGGGUGGCCUUUGUCCUUGGAGCAUGAGGACAGUGUCAGUGAGGAUUGCAUUGCUAUUUUCCACUCAUUCAUCCCACAAAGCAUCCUCAACAAUACAGGGUCCUUGCAAUGAGAAACUUCUAAUCUAUGAAGGAGAUAAGAUGUGUCUCUAAUAACCAGACCAGCAAAAUGUGUUUGCUGUUUCCUUAGUUAUAAUUCAUAGGAUUACUUAUGAUUCAGUAAUUAUAUUACUGUUCGUUUUCCCUUUUUCCAUGUUCUUUUUUAUUAAGUUUUAUAAUUUCUUCUUU
This is a long non-coding RNA of Sapajus apella (tufted capuchin), 584 nucleotides long. RefSeq lists it as uncharacterized. Lineage: Eukaryota; Metazoa; Chordata; Mammalia; Primates; Cebidae. The record is from RefSeq and is a predicted model, not a curated record. The transcript has 3 exons.